AUGAAUCUUCGGGGUUAGGUGAAAUUCCUUACCGGCGGUGAUGAUUUAUGAUAAAUCUAAGCCCGCGACUCUUUAAGUGCUAGUCAUUUAAGGACUGACUUGGUGACAAUCCAAGGCCGACGGUUAAAGUCCGGAUGGGAGGAGAUCGAA
This is a regulatory RNA element of 150 nucleotides. It matches the Rfam family "FMN riboswitch aptamer (RFN element)". From Rfam's summary of the family: The RFN element is a highly conserved domain that is found frequently in the 5'-untranslated regions of prokaryotic mRNAs that encode for flavin mononucleotide (FMN) biosynthesis and transport proteins. This element is a metabolite-dependent riboswitch that directly binds FMN in the absence of proteins. The record is from Rfam.